RNAcentral lists this ribosomal RNA (465 nucleotides) under Vreelandella stevensii. RNAcentral's name for it is "partial 16S ribosomal RNA". It matches the Rfam family "Bacterial small subunit ribosomal RNA", at positions 338 to 795 of the family's 1533-position model. The record is from RNAcentral. Lineage: Bacteria; Pseudomonadati; Pseudomonadota; Gammaproteobacteria; Oceanospirillales; Halomonadaceae.
CCUACGGGUGGCAGCAGUGGGGAAUAUUGGACAAUGGGCGAAAGCCUGAUCCAGCCAUGCCGCGUGUGUGAAGAAGGCCUUCGGGUUGGAAAGCACUUUCAGUGGGGAAGAAAGCCUUGGGGCUAAUACCCUCGAGGAAGGACAUCACCCACAGAAGAAGCACCGGCUAACUCCGUGCCAGCAGCCGCGGUAAUACGGAGGGUGCGAGCGUUAAUCGGAAUUACUGGGCGUAAAGCGCGCGUAGGCGGUCUGAUAAGCCGGUUGUGAAAGCCCCGGGCUCAACCUGGGAACGGCAUCCGGAACUGUCAGGCUAGAGUGCAGGAGAGGAAGGUAGAAUUCCCGGUGUAGCGGUGAAAUGCGUAGAGAUCGGGAGGAAUACCAGUGGCGAAGGCGGCCUUCUGAACUGACACUGACGCUGAGGUGCGAAAGCGUGGGUAGCAAACAGGAUUAGAUACCCCUGUAGUC